CCUACGGGAGGCAGCAGUGAGGAAUAUUGGUCAAUGGCCGGAAGGCUGAACCAGCCAUGCCGCGUGAAGGUCAGUGCCCUAUGGGCGUUAAACUUCUUUUGUGCGGGAGCAAUAAUGGUCACGUGUGGCCAGACGAGAGUACCGUACGAAUAAGCAUCGGCUAACCUCGUGCCAGCAGCCGCGGUGAUACGGGGGGUGCAAGCGUUAUACGGAUUUUUGGGGUUUAAAGGGUGCGUAGGCUGGGAGGUAAGUCAGCGGUGAAAUGCCCCGGGUCAACAGGGUGAAGUGCCAUUGAUACUGCCGUGCUGGAGUGCGGAUGAAGUGGGCGGAAUGUGUGGUGUAGCGGUGAAAUGCAUAGAUAUCACACAGAACACCGAUUGCGAAGGCAUCUCACGAAUCCGCGAUUGACGCUGAUGCACGAAAGCGUGGGUAUCAAACAGGAUUAGAUACCCGGGUAGUC
RNAcentral lists this ribosomal RNA (460 nucleotides) under uncultured bacterium. Its description in RNAcentral is "partial 16S ribosomal RNA". It matches the Rfam family "Bacterial small subunit ribosomal RNA", at positions 338 to 795 of the family's 1533-position model. The record is from RNAcentral.